This 253-nucleotide ribosomal RNA is filed under the name uncultured bacterium. Its description in RNAcentral is "partial 16S ribosomal RNA". It matches the Rfam family "Bacterial small subunit ribosomal RNA", at positions 524 to 776 of the family's 1533-position model. The record is from RNAcentral.
UACGUAGGUGGCGAGCGUUGUCCGGACUUACUGGGCGUAAAGAGCGCGCAGGCGGUCGUUCAAGUCGGAUGUGAAAGCCCCCGGCUCAACUGGGGAGGGUCAUUCGAUACUGAUCGACUCGAAGGCAGGAGAGGGAAGCGGAAUUCCCGGUGUAGUGGUGAAAUGCGUAGAUAUCGGGAGGAACACCAGUGGCGAAGGCGGCUUCCUGGCCUGUUCUUGACGCUGAGGCGCGAAAGCUAGGGGAGCAAACGGG